Ochotona curzoniae (black-lipped pika) is the source of this 417-nucleotide long non-coding RNA. RefSeq lists it as uncharacterized. The record is from RefSeq and is a predicted model, not a curated record. The transcript has 4 exons. Lineage: Eukaryota; Metazoa; Chordata; Mammalia; Lagomorpha; Ochotonidae.
CGGGCCGCGCGAGCCUCUGUGCUGCCGGCGGGAUGCAGCGGGCGUGCGGCCAGGGCGCGGGGCCGCCACCUGCUGGGGAGCCAGGAACAGCGCUGUCUACAAGUUCACCAGCCAGGACACCUCCGACUGCUUGAGAACACACGUGUGAUAGUGUAAUUUCUGCUUUUCUGAAAGAACUCGGAGGAGACCUGAUAGAGGAGCUUGGGGAACAUCUCCGUCAGGACACAGUCCCUGCAGGUCAGUGAAAUCUACCACGAUGAGUCUUUGGGGGCCCACAUCAACGUGGUGCUGGUGCGGAUCAUCCUGCUGAGCCAUGGGAAGACAAAUUUGAAACCAGAAAGAAAAUUGGAAGGAAGAAGUUACUGCUGCACUUAAGUUCCGAGAAUUUUCUCAAGUAUAAUUCAAUCUGUAAACUGC